GAGCAUGUGGUUUAAUUUCGAAGCUACGCGAAGAACCUUACCAGGUCUUGACAUCUUGCGCCAACCCUAGAGAUAGGGCGUUUCCUUCGGGAACGCAAUGACAGGUGGUGCAUGGUCGUCGUCAGCUCGUGUCGUGAGAUGUUGGGUUAAGUCCCGCAACGAGCGCAACCCUUGUUACUAGUUGCCAGCAUUAAGUUGGGCACUCUAGUGAGACUGCCGGUGACAAACCGGAGGAAGGUGGGGACGACGUCAGAUCAUCAUGCCCCUUAUGACCUGGGCUACACACGUGCUACAAUGGACGGUACAACGAGUCGCGAACUCGCGAGGGCAAGCAAAUCUCUUAAAACCGUUCUCAGUUCGGACUGCAGGCUGCAACUCGCCUGCACGAAGUCGGAAUCGCUAGUAAUCGCGGAUCAGCAUGCCGCGGUGAAUACGUUCCCGGGCCUUGUACA
RNAcentral lists this ribosomal RNA (452 nucleotides) under Limosilactobacillus fermentum. Its description in RNAcentral is "bacterial SSU rRNA". It matches the Rfam family "Bacterial small subunit ribosomal RNA", at positions 935 to 1387 of the family's 1533-position model. Lineage: Bacteria; Bacillati; Bacillota; Bacilli; Lactobacillales; Lactobacillaceae. The record is from RNAcentral.